This 394-nucleotide ribosomal RNA is filed under the name Eudyptes filholi (Southern rockhopper penguin). RNAcentral's name for it is "partial 12S ribosomal RNA". It matches the Rfam family "Bacterial small subunit ribosomal RNA", at positions 794 to 1381 of the family's 1533-position model. Lineage: Eukaryota; Metazoa; Chordata; Aves; Sphenisciformes; Spheniscidae. The record is from RNAcentral.
GCCUAGCCCUAAAUCUUGAUACUCUCCCCCACUAAAGUAUCCGCCCGAGAACUACGAGCACAAACGCUUAAAACUCUAAGGACUUGGCGGUGCCCCAGAUCCACCUAGAGGAGCCUGUUCUGUAAUCGAUAACCCACGAUACACCCAACCCCCCCUUGCCAAAACAGCCUAUAUACCGCCGUCGCCAGCCCACCUCUCCUGAGAGUCCAACAGUGAGCGAAAUAGCCCCACCUCGCUAGCAAGACAGGUCAAGGUAUAGCCUAUGGGGCGGAAGAAAUGGGCUACAUUUUCUAAGAUAGACAACUUCACGGAAGGGGACAUGAAACCGUCCCCAGAAGGCGGAUUUAGCAGUAAAGCGGGAUAAUAAAGCCCCCUUUAAACCGGCCCUGAGGCA